CUAGUUGGUAGGGUAACGGCCUACCAAGGCUACGAUCCGUAGCCGGCCUGAGAGGGCGGUCGGCCACACUGACACUGACAUACGGGUCAGACUCCUACGGGAGGCAGCAGUCGGGAAUUUUGGGCAAUGGGCGAAAGCCUGACCCAGCAACGCCGCGUGAAGGAUGAAAUCCCUCGGGAUGUAAACUUCGCAAGAACGGGAAGAAUAAGUAGGGGACAAUACCCCCUAUGAUGACGGGACCGUUUGUAAGCUCCGGCUAACUCCGUGCCAGCAGCCGCGGUAAUACGGGGGGAGCAAGCGUUGUUCGGAUUUACUGGGCGUAAAGGGCGCGUAGGCGGCCAGUGCAAGUCAGUUGUGAAAUCUCCGAGCUUAACUCGGAAAGGUCAACUGAUACUGCUCGGCUAGAGUGCGGAAGGGGCAACUGGAAUUCUUGGUGUAGCGGUGAAAUGCGUAGAUAUCAAGAGGAACACCUGCGGCGAAGGCGGGUUGCUGGGCCGACACUGACGCUGAGGCGCGAAAGCUAGGGGAGCGAACGGGAUUAGAUACCCCGGUAGUCCUAGCCUUAAACGAUGAAUGCUUGGUGUCUGGGGUUAUAUAGUCCCCGGGUGCCGUCGCUAACGCUUUAAGCAUUCCGCCUGGGGAGUACGGUCGCAAGACUGAAACUCAAAGGAAUUGACG
This 678-nucleotide ribosomal RNA is filed under the name uncultured Acidobacteriota bacterium. RNAcentral's name for it is "SSU rRNA". It matches the Rfam family "Bacterial small subunit ribosomal RNA", at positions 245 to 915 of the family's 1533-position model. Lineage: Bacteria; Pseudomonadati; Acidobacteriota. The record is from RNAcentral.